Molecule: non-coding RNA, 72 nt
Organism: Ornithorhynchus anatinus (platypus)
Lineage: Eukaryota; Metazoa; Chordata; Mammalia; Monotremata; Ornithorhynchidae
Source: Rfam
AGCAGCAUGGCCUAGUGGAAAGAGCAUGGUCCUGGAAGCCAGAGAACCUGGGUUCCAAUCCCAGUUCUGCCA